UCUGAGUAGUCCUGUAACUAUAAAACCAGUUAAUGUAUAGUGAAAACUUUCUGCAAAAGAAAUCUUCAGGCCAAGAUAGAUUUACUGGCAAAUCCUACCAAACAUAUAAUAAAGUAAAAUAUAUGCAAUCUCUUCCAGAAUAUAGAAGAGGAAGGAAAAUAUCCUAACUAGUUUUAUGAGGUCAUAUUUACCUUGAUAUCAAAAUCAGACAAAGAGUACAAAAGAUUGAAACUAUAGACAAAUAUCUCUCAUGGAUUUAGAUGCCGAAAUACUCAAUCAAAAUAUUAGUAAAUUGGAUCAGGAAUAUCAAAAGGAAUCAUACACCAUGACCAAGUGGGAUUUAUACUAGAUAUAAAGGCUGGUUUAUCAUUCAGAAAAAUAAUUUAAAUGUAUCUACUAUAUCAGUAAAUUAAAAGAAAUCUAUGAUUAUGUAAAUUGAAAUAGAAAAAGCAUUUGACAUACUCAAAACCCAGUUCAUGAAAAAAACUUUCAGCAGGUUAGGAAUAGAAAGGAAUCACUUCAACCUGAUAAAGAGCAUCAGCAAAGCUUUCAGGUAACAUCAUACUUAACAGGGAAAGACUGAAUGCCUUACCCCUAAAAUUGGGAACAAGUCAAGGCAACAAUGUCUACUUUCACCACACUUAUUCAACAUACUACUGGAAGUUCUAGGCUCUUCAGUAAGAUGAGAAAUAAAAAUAAAAAGCAUACAUAUUAGAAAGGAAGACAUAAAACGUUCCCUAUUUGCAGAUAACAUGAUUGUCUACAUGGAACAUCCCAAGUAAUCUACCAAAAAUUCCUAUAAAUAAUAAGUGAGUGCAUUAGUCUACUAGUGCUGCCAUAACAAAAUACCACAGUCUGGGUGGCUUAAACAACAGAAAUUUAUUUUCUCAAAGUUCUGGAGGCUAGAAGUCCAAGAUCUUAAUGCUGAGAAAUUUGAUUUCUGGUAAGGCCUCUCUUCCUUGGGUUGCAAACUGUCUGCCUCACUAUGUCCUCACAUGGCCUUUCCUCUGUGUAUAUGUUCCUGUGUGCCUUUCUCUUCCCCUUCUUAUAAGGAUACCAUUCUUACUGCAUUAGGGCUCUACUCUUAUGACCUCAUUUAACCUUAAUUACUGUCUAAGAGGCCCUAUCUCCAAAUACAGUCACACUGGGGCUUAGGGCUUCAGCAUAGGAAUUUUGAAGGGAUAGAAUUCAGUCCAUAACAAUGAGUUUAGUCACAUUCUAGAAUACAAGAUCAAAACACAAAAAUCUGUCAUAUUUCUAAAUACUAGUAUUGAAGAAUUGAAAACAAAAAAGAUACCACAUACAAGAAUUUCCCUCAAAAGGAAAUAUGUUGGUAUAAUUCUAACUACAUAUACAUAGAAUCUAUCUUCUGAAACUGAAAUGCUGAUGAAAGAAAUCAGAGAAUACCUAAAUAUAUGUAAAGUCAUACCAUGCUCAUGGAUUGGAAGAUUCAACAUAGAUGGUGCUGAUGAGCUACUCUCAACUACAAGGAACAGAAUAACUGGAGAAGGCAUCUUAGACCAAUGCUGGGCCAGCUGGGAACCUGGGGAACUUCAGAGCAGAGCCCAACUUUCUGCCCUGGACUGUAAGCUGCCAUGUGAAGAAGCCCAUGGGGCAAAGAACUGAGUGUGGCCACUGGCCAAUAUCCAACAAGUUGCUGCAGCCUAACAGCCCACAUGGAAAUGAAUCCUGCCAACAACCACAUGAACUUGGAAAUGGAUCCUUACCCAGUUGAGCCUCGUAUGAGCCACAGCCCUGAAAAGACCUUGAUUGCAGCCUCUUGAGAGACCAUGAAACAAAGGACCCAGCUAAACACUGCCCAAAUUCCUGACCUGCAUCAACUGUGUGAUAAUAAAUAUGGGUUGUUUUAACCCUCUACAUUUGUAGUAGUUUUGUAUGCAUCAGUAGAUAAUUAAUAGAUGGAACAACUGGAACUGUCCUACAUUUAUGGUGGCAUAACCAUCUUGUAAAACCGUUUGGCAAUUUCUUAUAAAGAUAAACAUGCACCGAACUUACCCUAAGACCCAGCAAUUGCACUAGGUAUUUACCCAUGAAAAAUAAAAGUAUAUGUCCAAACAAAGAUUCAUACAUGAAUAUUCCUAGCAGCUUUACACAUAAUAGCCCACAAGUAGAAACAACCUGAAUGCCAAUCCAUAGAUGAAUGAAUAAAGUAUGGAAUAUCCAUACAAUGGAAUAAUACUCAGCAGUAAAGGAGAAUGAACUGAUCAAUAUAUGUAAAAAUGUUGAUGAAUCUCAACAUAUCAUGUUCAGAGAAAGAGACUAGACAUAAAAGAAUAUAUUAUAUAUGAUGCCAUUUAUAUUAAUUCUAGAAAGCACAAAUCUAAUUUAUGACAAUAGAAACAGAUCAGUGGUUAUCUACACCUAGAGGUGUGCAGUUAGGAUAGCAAAAGCUUGCAAGACUGACUUUUAGGGCUGUUGCCAUAUUCUAGAUCUUGGUACAACAGUAGUUACAAUGAGUUGUCAUAAUUCAUUGAGCUGUUCACUUAAAAUUGGCACAUGAUUUGUAUAUAAACUAUUCCUUGAUAAAGUUGGUUUUUAAAGAAAUAUAACUCAAAAUGGAUUAAAGACUGAAACAUCAGACCUGAAACUGUAAAACUCCUAGAAGAAAGCAGAGGGUCAAAGCUCCAUGACAUUGGUCUUGGCAAUGAUUUCUUGGAUAUGACACCAAAAGCACAGGCAAAAAAAGCAAAAAUAGGCAGAUGGGACUGCAUCAAACUAAGAAGUUUCUACACAGCAAAAUGAAUAAUUAACAAUGAAAAAGCAACGUCCAGAAUGGGAGAAAAUAUAUACGUGAACCAUGUAUCUGAUAAAGGGUUGAUACCCAGAAUAAAAAAUUCCUACAAUGUAAUAGCAAAACAACCAAAUAAACCAGUUUUCAAAAUAGGACAAACCAGUUUUCAAAAUAGGACAAAAUAGGACAAAGGGGCAUCUGGGUGGCAAAGUCGGUUAAGCAUCCAUCUCUUGAUUUUGGCUCAGGUCAUGAUCUUGAAAUUUGUGAGGUUGAUCCCUGUGUCAGGCUCUACAUUGACAGUGUGGAGCCUGCUUGGGAUUCUCUCCCUCCCUCUCUCUCUGCCCCUCCCUCACUUGCAUGCACUAUAAACAAACAAACAAACUUAAAAAAAAUAAAAUGCAGAAAGGGUUUAAAUAGACAUUUCUCCAAAGACAACAUACAAAUGGCCAACAGGUACAUAAAAAGUUGCUCAACACCAAUAAUCUUCGAACACCUGUUAGGAUGGAUAUUAUUAAAAAAAAGAAAAGAAAAAGAAAAAAACAGAAAACAAACAAAUGGUAAGUAUUCAUGAGUCUGUGGAGAAAUUGGAAUUCUUGUAUGCUGUUGGUGAGGAUGUAGAUGGUACAGCCACUAUGGAAAACAGUAUGGAGGUUUCCCCAAAAUUUAAAAAUAGUAAUACCAUAUGAUCCAACAAUCCCACAUCUGGGUGUUUUUCCAAGAGAAUUGAAAUCAGGAAUCUUGAAGAGAUAUUUGCACUCCCUUGUUCAUUGCAGCCUUAUUCACAAUAUCCAAGAUGUGGAAACAACCUAA
Molecule: long non-coding RNA, 3562 nt
Organism: Acinonyx jubatus (cheetah)
Lineage: Eukaryota; Metazoa; Chordata; Mammalia; Carnivora; Felidae
Exons: 3
Source: RefSeq, a predicted model, not a curated record